Molecule: ribosomal RNA, 252 nt
Filed under: uncultured bacterium
Lineage: Bacteria
Description: partial 16S ribosomal RNA
Rfam family: Bacterial small subunit ribosomal RNA
Source: RNAcentral
UACGUAAGGACCGAGCGUUGUCCGGAAUCAUUGGGCGUAAAGGGUACGUAGGCGGAUAAGCAAGUUAGAAGUAAAAUCCUAUAGCUCAACUAUAGUAAGCAUUUAAAACUGCUCAUCUUGAGUUAUGGAAAGGAAAGUGGAAUUCCUAGUGUAGCGGUGAAAUGCGUAGAUAUUAGGAGGAAUACCGGUGGCGAAGGCGGCUUUCUGGACUUAAACUGACGCUGAGGCACGAAAGCGUGGGUAGCAAACAGG